GGGGGCAUGGUAGAGUGGCAACACGUGGCAUUCGCAUUGCCAAGACCCGGGUUCGAUUCCCGGUGCCUCCA
RNAcentral lists this transfer RNA (71 nucleotides) under Candidatus Wolfebacteria bacterium GWA1_42_9. RNAcentral describes it as "tRNA-Ala". It matches the Rfam family "tRNA". From Rfam's summary of the family: Transfer RNA (tRNA) molecules are approximately 80 nucleotides in length. Their secondary structure includes four short double-helical elements and three loops (D, anti-codon, and T loops). Lineage: Bacteria; Candidatus Wolfeibacteriota. The record is from RNAcentral.